Pediculus humanus corporis (human body louse) is the source of this 91-nucleotide microRNA precursor. Lineage: Eukaryota; Metazoa; Arthropoda; Insecta; Psocodea; Pediculidae. The record is from RefSeq and is a predicted model, not a curated record.
UUUCGAACCGAUUUACCGCCUGAAUCAUUGCUCGACCAAUUUCUUUAAUUAAAAAGCUGAGCAAAGUUUCAGGUGUGUCAAACGGUCCGGU